This 253-nucleotide ribosomal RNA is filed under the name uncultured bacterium. RNAcentral's name for it is "partial 16S ribosomal RNA". It matches the Rfam family "Bacterial small subunit ribosomal RNA", at positions 524 to 776 of the family's 1533-position model. The record is from RNAcentral.
UACAGAGGGUGCGAGCGUUAAUCGGAAUUACUGGGCGUAAAGCGCACGUAGUCGGCUUUGCAAGUCGGGUGUGAAAUCCCCGGGCUCAACCUGGGAACUGCAUCCGAGACUGCAUUGCUAGAGUAUGGGAGAGGGAAGCGGAAUUUCUGGUGUAGCAGUGAAAUGCGUAGAUAUCAGAAGGAACAUCAGUGGCGAAGGCGGCUUCCUGGACCAAUACUGACGAUCAGGUGCGAAAGCCAGGGGAGCAAACGGG